CCUACGGGAGGCAGCAGUGGGGAAUAUUGCACAAUGGGGGAAACCCUGAUGCAGCGACGCCGCGUGAGUGAAGAAGUAAUUCGUUAUGUAAAGCUCUAUCAGCAGGGAAGAAAAUGACGGUACCUGAGUAAGAAGCCCCGGCUAACUACGUGCCAGCAGCCGCGGUAAUACGUAGGGGGCAAGCGUUAUCCGGAUUUACUGGGUGGAAAGGGAGCGUAGACGGCAGUGCAAGUCUGGAGUGAAAGGCGGGGGCUCAACCCCCGGACUGCUCUGGAAACUGUACGGCUGGAGUGCAGGAGAGGUAAGUAGAAUUCCUGGUGUAGCGGUGAAAUGCGUAGAUAUUAGGAGGAACACCAGUGGCGAAGGCGGCUUACUGGACUGUAACUGACGUUGAGGCUCGAAAGCGUGGGGAGCAAACAGGAUUAGAUACCCCAGUAGUC
RNAcentral lists this ribosomal RNA (440 nucleotides) under uncultured bacterium. RNAcentral describes it as "partial 16S ribosomal RNA". It matches the Rfam family "Bacterial small subunit ribosomal RNA", at positions 338 to 795 of the family's 1533-position model. The record is from RNAcentral.